UUUGUUAGUAUCUCAUCCAGAUCACCUGAACCUGAGUGAUGAAAAUCUAAUUAAUAAUAGAUUUUGUUUGCAUUUCUAAUUCUUAAAGUUGAUAAGGUUUUAUUUGUUUUUAUGUGGAGAUUAUGAGCUUAGCUAACUCCUUAAAACUUGGAACAAACCUAACAAUUUUUUUAAAAAAUUUUGAAUCUAUAUAUAAUUCCAACAAUUUAAUGUUUUUUUCAAAUAAAAUAACUACUUGGAGUUUGUAUUAAUUUUAAUCAAUUUUUGGGCCAAAUUUUUUUAUUGGGUAAAAUUGCAUAUGUAGUCCUGAAACUUUUCUCAAAGUUUUAUUCUGAUCCUCAAACUUUUACGCACAAUAUUUGAAGUCCCAAACUCUUAUAAAUAUCUCUUUUUAGUUAUUAUUAUCCUUAUUUAUUAUUACAUAAAUAAAUAUUAUCUACACAUAUACCAUCCAUUAUCGAACCAUAAAUUCUCAUCUCAUAUUUUAAAAUUUAAAAAUUAAAUGUUUAAACUAAAAGUAUGAGAUGGACGAGGGGCCAAUGAAUCCAUUAAUAAAAAAAUGAACUAAGUUUGAACAAUAUCUUUGUUUAAUUUUUAAAAAAAUUGAAAAUUUUAGAUGCUAAAAUAUCGAAUAUAUAAGGUUGAGAACCAAAAUAAAAUCAACUAAUAUUUCAAAGACUAGUACGAAAAGUUACUCUUUAUUUUUUUUGUAGAUUACUUUAUUUGUGAAAAUUAAUAUAUACUAGUUAAGGUAUUCACGGCGGGUAGUUAAUAUUAUAUUUAAUUUAUAAUUAAUAUUAGAAAGUAUAUUUUUAGUUAAAUAACACAAUAUUAAUAAAUUGUCAUUACUUAAAAAUAUUUUUUUUUACUGCUAAAUAAAUUUCAGAAUUAGUAUUCAAACAAAAAUUCAAUAUAGAGAAGCAAAAGAGAAGGAGAAACAAAUAUUUUUUUUGUUCACAGAUAGAAUAAUAUUUGAUGAAAAUUAUAUAAUUGAGAAUAUAUAAUUAUAAAGUGUUCACGGUUCACGUCCGAAAUAAAAUAUUAUCGUUAGUUGAAGCUUAAUUCGGUUUAGAGUUUGGUGCUUAUACAAAUUAAUACAAUCAUUCAAUGUGGAGCCCUCUGUCACGCCCCGGAUUACUCGUUCCCCCAGACACACCGACAAAUCCGCCGUAUACAAAAAAAAAAUUUAUGUAUACGAAGCAAUAGCUGUACCUGUACCUGUGAUCAUAGAAAACUACAACUAGUAGUAUACAGCUGCUACCAGAAUUGAAAACAUGCAUAAAUAAAUAUCGGGUUCACCAUACAUACAAGUCUCCAACAUACAGACAUCACUCGCCCCAACGAGUAUCCAACAUCAGUAUGUACAUGAACCAAAAGUCAAAACUAUCUGUAGCUGGUACUCUUCUAGAACAGCAACAAGACUGUAAGGGAUCUAGCUCGCAACUCCCUUUCCACGAUCAAUAUCAGCGAUAGCAGCAGCCGCAGAAGAAGGCUCUACAGAAAGGGGUCAACAACUGGGUAUGAGAACUACUGCAAAAAGAAGUAGUUCUCAGUAGGUACCGCUACCGACCUCAACGGCUCACCCAUUAAAUCUACAAAAAGUAUGCUCAAGGAUAGUAAAGGAAGCUAGAAGAACUCUACAGCUACAUGCCUCUAUACUAUCGCUAACCACUACUAUGUAGAUAUGAAGAUGCACUGCCUGACCCAAUCUCACUAGGGACUGUGAACACACCCGUCCUGCCUGUCGAAGCUAGACCGACCACCACCACGCUGGAUCGUCAGUGGAGAGCGAGUCCAACCAGGACACAACGACAACAACACAAACGCACUAUGCCCGACUCCGGAAUGGCACUCGUGGGUGCUACCCAACCGAAUAUGCAAGUGUGUCUCUGCCGAGCUCAAUCAGGCUCUCACAGGCUAUAAUCAAAACAAAUGGAUCUAACUCGCCUAACAACCAAAGCUCACGUGCCNUCGUCAGUGGAGAGCGAGUCCAACCAGGACACAACGACAACAACACAAACGCACUAUGCCCGACUCCGGAAUGGCACUCGUGGGUGCUACCCAACCGAAUAUGCAAGUGUGUCUCUGCCGAGCUCAAUCAGGCUCUCACAGGCUAUAAUCAAAACAAAUGGAUCUAACUCGCCUAACAACCAAAGCUCACGUGCCCUUGGCACAAUCUGAUGCAAAUACAGAAAUUUGGGUCCACCGUCAACCGCGACGACUCCCGACAGUCCGAAACAGUCUACACACUACUGUAAAAAUAAACUCGACAUCCUAGUACGAGCGUAAACUCAUCCUACACUAAUCUAGAUAUCCACCACAUACAAACUGCGGCGAUACUAACAAACUACAGCUCUUAAAGCUAAAUCUGGUAGUUUUUAGAAAAUUACAGUGUAGAACUUAUAGUUUUCGAUCUCCUAAGUCAAUUCUAUGUCCAACAUGUAAAAUUAAACUACUAGCUUAAUUCCGAUUUCAGAUUUAAACACUAAUCCAUAAAUUCGAGUACUAGCAAGAAGAUAAACGAAUGAUACAUGUCGACAAUGCUGAAACUUAGAAGAUAUUCCGACGAUUUCGGUAAACUCCAAGCCAUCUAAAAAAACUAGUCCAACUACGGCGAGAAGUCAAGAGAAGGGAAAACACGCGCUCGCCAGACCUUCAACGGCCCAACCACGACAUCCACACACUCGAACGACUCCUCGACGCAAUGUCGACGUCGAUCCGAGCUCAAGCCAUAGCCUCCACCAAGCACACAAUUAAAUUAGAGCGAGAGAGAGAAAGGAUAAUUACCCCUUCUCAGAAGAGUUGAGUGGGCUCCUUAAAUUUUACCUUCAUAAAAUUUUCCAAAUUAGCCUUUCGGCCGGAGCGGCGCAAAAGGAUGUUUAUUUUGCAGAAAAGGACGUCAAUAAUAGUCAAAUUAUUUUUUACCUCUUUUUUUAUUUUUUGUUUUUUCCUAAUUUUGUGGCGUUUAAAUCAAUAAUAUUACGAUCUUAUCUACUACGCGCCGAGUGUAGAUCAAAUAUUUGCAGUGGUGGAGUCUAACGGUUGAAAUUCGCUUCGUGUCCGGAUGAACAGCCUGAUUAACUGCUGUGGAGGAAUUUUCUAUAUGCUGUAUCUAUAAGGAAUUAGAGAGAGUGCAAUACCAAAGAGAGAGAGAGAAGUUGUAGAUUCUCUGUAGACCUGGUGCAUAGAUAAUGGCUUUUGUGGUCGUGUUGGCAGUUGAAAUAUGUUUCUAAACAACCGAAACAAUCGGUGCGUAGAAUUUUUCUGUGCAUACGAAAAAUCUCAACUCGGAGAGCUAUGAUAGCUCCAUUGAUAUAGAUAGCACCAAGAGAAUGUACGUGUGAAUUCUCUGUAGACCUGAUUCUCAUAAACAAGUGAUUCUAUCGAUUAUCUAAUAUAUAUAUAUAGAAUCCCUUGUACUCAUAAAUUUUUAAAAGUUGAUUGAUGGGAUGUGUGGUUAGGAUGAUGGUGGUCCACACUUAGAAUGAUAGUGGUCCCCUAGGGUUGAGUGGGUAGUUGGUUGAAUAGUAUGAUCUAACGGAUGGAAAUGAUCAUGGAAUAAAUCUAGGGGCAAAAAAUUUAUGAGUAUAAGGGAACCAAUACUCAUAAAAGUAUAGUAGCUGGACUCAUAUAUAUAUAUAUAGAGUGAGGCUACUAUGCUUCUGGAAGCAUGGAGCCUUCCGUGCUUCCAGGUCGUUUUUGAUGUUGCGACUUUCGAAUCGUCGAUCGGCUCUGUUAAACUUGAUCUAGAGUAUUUGAAGAACUUAGAAAAUAAAUUUUGCAAUUUUUCGAUAUCAUUUGCCUAGUGAACUAAGGGGCUCAAAAUCAACGGCUGAAAAUAAAAAUCUAACAAAACGUGAUAAUAUGACAUUAAAAUUCUAGAUCAAAGAUAUUGAUCUUGUUUUAUAUAGUAUAAAAAAUUUUCUAUCAAAAUUUCACGUGAUUUGGAUAUUCCUACACCAUUAAACUUGCAAACGGCUCACCGCCGCCAUUAAAAUUAUUGAUUUUGAGUCCCUUCGAUCACUAGGCAAAUGAUAUCGAAAAAUUACAAAAUUUAUUUUCUAGAUACUUCAAAUACUCUAGAUCAAGUUUAAUAGAGCCGAUCGACGAUUCAAAAGUUGCAACAUCGAAAACGACCUGAAAGCACGAAAGGCUCUGUGCUUCCAGAAGCAUAGUAGCCUCACUCUAUAUAUAUAUAUAUUAUAUAUAUAUAUAUAUAUAUAUAUUAAUAUAUAUAUAUUAUAUAUAUAUAUAUAAUAUAUAUAUAUAUGCAUUUCAAAUAUUUAUGGUGGUGGAGUUUGGCGGUUGCGAUUUGUUCCGUCUCUGUAGUAUCCUUGGUUUUUGGGUUGCUUGUGGAUCUCAGCAUCUGAGGCUUGGCGACACAUCGGGAGAGUGUCGGAACAAGUCGGAGUCGUUUUGGCACGAAACGGACGCAAAAUGGACUCGAUGCGAGGCGAGAGUGGAGUUUUGACGCUGAAAUCCGCAAAGUGCAGGAUUUCAGUGUUGAGUACCGGUACGGCAUCGGGCUGGUUACAAGUACCCUGUGUGCGAGCUUGCGAGCUGAGAGGCCGAGUACCGGUAACCAAAUCGGAUACCGGUACUCCAGCUGUAAAUUGAGUUGGUGAGGGGUAUGGAGGUUAUUUGGGUUGGUGGUUAUCCACACCACCAACUCUCCCUCGUAAUUAUCCACCUGAGGGAGAGUCCUUUGUUUAAUUAUGUUCCUCUCUCUCUCAAGUGUUAAUUUUGUCCUUGGUGGAGGCCACGACAGCUUGAGCUCGGAUCGACGUCGACGUUGUGUCGGAGAGCCGUUCGAGCGUGUGGACGUUGCGGUUGCGCCGUUGGAGGCCGGACGAGCGCGUGGUUUGCUCUCAUUUCGACUUCUCGCCGUGGUUGUAUUAGCGUUUCGAGGUGGAUUGUAGUUUACUGAAAUCAUUGGAAUAUCUUCUAAGUUUUAGCAUUUGACGACAUGUAUUAUUCGUUUAUCUUCUUGCUAGUACUCAAAUUCAUGGAUUAGUGUUUAAAUCUGAAUUUGGAGUUAAGCUAAUAGUUUAAUUUUACAUGUUGAACUUGGAAUUGACAUAGGAGAAAAUAUAUAGAUCCUGCACUGUCAUUUCUGAAAAUUACCAUAUUUAACUUUAGGAGCUGUGGUUCUAUUGUAUCGUCGCUGUUAGUAUACUAUGGAUACCCAGAUUAGUGUAGGAUGAGUUUACGCUCGUGCUGGGAUGCCGAGUUUAUUUUACAGUAGUGUGUAGACUGUUCUAGAUUGUCGGGUGCUGUCGCGGUUGACGGUGGACUCAGAUUUCUGUUUCUUGUAUAAGAUUGUGCCAAGAGCACGUUAGCUUUGGUUGUUAGA
RNAcentral lists this long non-coding RNA (5353 nucleotides) under Ananas comosus (pineapple). RNAcentral's name for it is "long non-coding RNA (ACOM_LNC027778)". The record is from RNAcentral. Lineage: Eukaryota; Viridiplantae; Streptophyta; Magnoliopsida; Poales; Bromeliaceae.